GGGGCUGAUUCUGGAUUCGACGGGAUUUGCGAAACCCAAGGUGCAUGCCGAGGGGCGGUUGGCCUCGUAAAAAGCCGCAAAAAAAUAGUCGCAAACGACGAAAACUACGCUUUAGCAGCUUAAUAACCUGCUUAGAGCCCUCUCUCCCUAGCCUCCGCUCUUAGGACGGGGAUCAAGAGAGGUCAAACCCAAAAGAGAUCGCGUGGAUGCCUUGCCUGGGGUUGAAGCGUUAAAACGAAUCAGGCUAGUCUGGUAGUGGCGUGUCCGUCCGCAGGUGCCAGGCGAAUGUAAAGACAGACUAAGCAUGUAGUACCGAGGAUGUAGGAAUUUCGGACGCGGGUUCAACUCCCGCCAGCUCCACCA
This 363-nucleotide transfer-messenger RNA is filed under the name Enterobacteriaceae (enterobacteria). RNAcentral describes it as "Salmonella diarizonae Standard tmRNA". It matches the Rfam family "transfer-messenger RNA". Rfam says of the family: Bacterial tmRNA, also known as 10Sa RNA or SsrA, is named for its dual tRNA and mRNA-like properties. Its role is to liberate the mRNA from a stalled ribosome. RNAcentral also lists the same sequence under 26 other names. Lineage: Bacteria; Pseudomonadati; Pseudomonadota; Gammaproteobacteria; Enterobacterales. The record is from RNAcentral.